Molecule: ribosomal RNA, 429 nt
Filed under: Pseudomonadota bacterium
Lineage: Bacteria; Pseudomonadati; Pseudomonadota
Description: Proteobacteria bacterium partial 16S ribosomal RNA
Rfam family: Bacterial small subunit ribosomal RNA
Source: RNAcentral
UGGGGAAUAUUGGACAAUGGGCGAAAGCCUGAUCCAGCCAUGCCGCGUGUGUGAAGAAGGUCUUCGGAUUGUAAAGCACUUUAAGUUGGGAGGAAGGGCAGUAAGCGAAUACCUUGCUGUUUUGACGUUACCGACAGAAUAAGCACCGGCUAACUCUGUGCCAGCAGCCGCGGUAAUACAGAGGGUGCAAGCGUUAAUCGGAAUUACUGGGCGUAAAGCGCGCGUAGGUGGUUCGUUAAGUUGAAUGUGAAAGCCCCGGGCUCAACCUGGGAACUGCAUCCAAAGCUGGCGAGCUAGAGUAGGGCAGAGGGUGGUGGAAUUUCCUGUGUAGCGGUGAAAUGCGUAGAUAUAGGAAGGAACACCAGUGGCGAAGGCGACCACCUGGGCUCAUACUGACACUGAGGUGCGAAAGCGUGGGGGGCAAACAGG